RNAcentral lists this ribosomal RNA (2209 nucleotides) under Shigella flexneri. RNAcentral's name for it is "partial 23S ribosomal RNA". It matches the Rfam family "Bacterial large subunit ribosomal RNA", at positions 1 to 2226 of the family's 2925-position model. The record is from RNAcentral. Lineage: Bacteria; Pseudomonadati; Pseudomonadota; Gammaproteobacteria; Enterobacterales; Enterobacteriaceae.
GGGUUGUGAGGUUAAGCGACUAAGCGUACACGGUGGAUGCCCUGGCAGUCAGAGGCGAUGAAGGACGUGCUAAUCUGCGAUAAGCGUCGGUAAGGUGAUAUGAACCGUUAUAACCGGCGAUUUCCGAAUGGGGAAACCCAGUGUGAUUCGUCACACUAUCAUUAACUGAAUCCAUAGGUUAAUGAGGCGAACCGGGGGAACUGAAACAUCUAAGUACCCCGAGGAAAAGAAAUCAACCGAGAUUCCCCCAGUAGCGGCGAGCGAACGGGGAGCAGCCCAGAGCCUGAAUCAGUGUGUGUGUUAGUGGAAGCGUCUGGAAAGGCGUGCGAUACAGGGUGACAGCCCCGUACACAAAAAUGCACAUACUGUGAGCUCGAUGAGUAGGGCGGGACACGUGGUAUCCUGUCUGAAUAUGGGGGGACCAUCCUCCAAGGCUAAAUACUCCUGACUGACCGAUAGUGAACCAGUACCGUGAGGGAAAGGCGAAAAGAACCCCGGCGAGGGGAGUGAAAAAGAACCUGAAACCGUGUACGUACAAGCAGUGGGAGCACGCUUAGGCGUGUGACUGCGUACCUUUUGUAUAAUGGGUCAGCGACUUAUAUUCUGUAGCAAGGUUAACCGAAUAGGGGAGCCGAAGGGAAACCGAGUCUUAACUGGGCGUUAAGUUGCAGGGUAUAGACCCGAAACCCGGUGAUCUAGCCAUGGGCAGGUUGAAGGUUGGGUAACACUAACUGGAGGACCGAACCGACUAAUGUUGAAAAAUUAGCGGAUGACUUGUGGCUGGGGGUGAAAGGCCAAUCAAACCGGGAGAUAGCUGGUUCUCCCCGAAAGCUAUUUAGGUAGCGCCUCGUGAAUUCAUCUCCGGGGGUAGAGCACUGUUUCGGCAAGGGGGUCAUCCCGACUUACCAACCCGAUGCAAACUGCGAAUACCGGAGAAUGUUAUCACGGGAGACACACGGCGGGUGCUAACGUCCGUCGUGAAGAGGGAAACAACCCAGACCGCCAGCUAAGGUCCCAAAGUCAUGGUUAAGUGGGAAACGAUGUGGGAAGGCCCAGACAGCCAGGAUGUUGGCUUAGAAGCAGCCAUCAUUUAAAGAAAGCGUAAUAGCUCACUGGUCGAGUCGGCCUGCGCGGAAGAUGUAACGGGGCUAAACCAUGCACCGAAGCUGCGGCAGCGACGCUUAUGCGUUGUUGGGUAGGGGAGCGUUCUGUAAGCCUGUGAAGGUGUACUGUGAGGUAUGCUGGAGGUAUCAGAAGUGCGAAUGCUGACAUAAGUAACGAUAAAGCGGGUGAAAAGCCCGCUCGCCGGAAGACCAAGGGUUCCUGUCCAACGUUAAUCGGGGCAGGGUGAGUCGACCCCUAAGGCGAGGCCGAAAGGCGUAGUCGAUGGGAAACAGGUUAAUAUUCCUGUACUUGGUGUUACUGCGAAGGGGGGACGGAGAAGGCUAUGUUGGCCGGGCGACGGUUGUCCCGGUUUAAGCGUGUAGGCUGGUUUUCCAGGCAAAUCCGGAAAAUCAAGGCCGAGGCGUGAUGACGAGGCACUACGGUGCUGAAGCAACAAAUGCCCUGCUUCCAGGAAAAGCCUCUAAGCAUCAGGUAACAUCAAAUCGUACCCCAAACCGACACAGGUGGUCAGGUAGAGAAUACCAAGGCGCUUGAGAGAACUCGGGUGAAGGAACUAGGCAAAAUGGUGCCGUAACUUCGGGAGAAGGCACGCUGAUACGUAGGUGAAGCGACUUGCUCGUGGAGCUGAAAUCAGUCGAAGAUACCAGCUGGCUGCAACUGUUUAUUAAAAACACAGCACUGUGCAAACACGAAAGUGGACGUAUACGGUGUGACGCCUGCCCGGUGCCGGAAGGUUAAUUGAUGGGGUUAGCGCAAGCGAAGCUCUUGAUCGAAGCCCCGGUAAACGGCGGCCGUAACUAUAACGGUCCUAAGGUAGCGAAAUUCCUUGUCGGGUAAGUUCCGACCUGCACGAAUGGCGUAAUGAUGGCCAGGCUGUCUCCACCCGAGACUCAGUGAAAUUGAACUCGCUGUGAAGAUGCAGUGUACCCGCGGCAAGACGGAAAGACCCCGUGAACCUUUACUAUAGCUUGACACUGAACAUUGAGCCUUGAUGUGUAGGAUAGGUGGGAGGCUUUGAAGUGUGGACGCCAGUCUGCAUGGAGCCGACCUUGAAAUACCACCCUUUAAUGUUUGAUGUUCUAAC